AUUGAACGCUGGCGGCAGGCCUAACACAUGCAAGUCGAGCGGAUGAAGAGAGCUUGCUCUCUGAUUCAGCGGCGGACGGGUGAGUAACGCCUAGGAAUCUGCCUGGUAGUGGGGGACAACGUUUCGAAAGGAACGCUAAUACCGCAUACGUCCUACGGGAGAAAGCAGGGGACCUUCGGGCCUUGCGCUAUCAGAUGAGCCUAGGUCGGAUUAGCUAGUUGGUGAGGUAAUGGCUCACCAAGGCGACGAUCCGUAACUGGUCUGAGAGGAUGAUCAGUCACACUGGAACUGAGACACGGUCCAGACUCCUACGGGAGGCAGCAGUGGGGAAUAUUGGACAAUGGGCGAAAGCCUGAUCCAGCCAUGCCGCGUGUGUGAAGAAGGUCUUCGGAUUGUAAAGCACUUUAAGUUGGGAGGAAGGGCAGUAACUUAAUACGUUGCUGUUUUGACGUUACCGACAGGAUAAGCACCGGCUAACUCUGUG
RNAcentral lists this ribosomal RNA (484 nucleotides) under uncultured bacterium. RNAcentral describes it as "bacterial SSU rRNA". It matches the Rfam family "Bacterial small subunit ribosomal RNA", at positions 30 to 507 of the family's 1533-position model. The record is from RNAcentral.